UUACGGCCACAUCACGUUUAAACAUCGGUUCCCGUACGAUCACCGAAGUCAAGCAACAUCGAGCGUGGUGAGUAGUUAAGUGGGUGACCAAUUGGAAAUU
This is a non-coding RNA of Acanthosepion pharaonis, 100 nucleotides long. The record is from the annotation of a GenBank genome assembly. NCBI's taxonomy places the organism in Eukaryota, Metazoa, Mollusca, Cephalopoda, Sepiida, Sepiidae.